RNAcentral lists this ribosomal RNA (1499 nucleotides) under metagenome. RNAcentral describes it as "bacterial SSU rRNA". It matches the Rfam family "Bacterial small subunit ribosomal RNA". The record is from RNAcentral.
AGAGCUUGAUCAUGGCUCAGAUUGAACGCUGGCGGCAGGCCUAACACAUGCAAGUCGAACGGUAACAGGAAGCAGCUUGCUGCUUCGCUGACGAGUGGCGGACGGGUGAGUAAUGUCUGGGAAGCUGCCUGAUGGAGGGGGAUAACUACUGGAAACGGUAGCUAAUACCGCAUAAUGUCGCAAGACCAAAGAGGGGGACCUUCGGGCCUCUUGCCAUCGGAUGUGCCCAGAUGGGAUUAGCUUGUUGGUGGGGUAACGGCUCACCAAGGCGACGAUCCCUAGCUGGUCUGAGAGGAUGACCAGCCACACUGGAACUGAGACACGGUCCAGACUCCUACGGGAGGCAGCAGUGGGGAAUAUUGCACAAUGGGCGCAAGCCUGAUGCAGCCAUGCCGCGUGUAUGAAGAAGGCCUUCGGGUUGUAAAGUACUUUCAGCAGGGAGGAAGGGAGUAAAGUUAAUACCUUUGCUCAUUGACGUUACCCGCAGAAGAAGCACCGGCUAACUCCGUGCCAGCAGCCGCGGUAAUACGGAGGGUGCAAGCGUUAAUCGGAAUUACUGGGCGUAAAGCGCACGCAGGCGGUUUGUUAAGUCAGAUGUGAAAUCCCCGGGCUCAACCUGGGAACUGCAUCUGAUACUGGCAAGCUUGAGUCUCGUAGAGGGGGGUAGAAUUCCAGGUGUAGCGGUGAAAUGCGUAGAGAUCUGGAGGAAUACCGGUGGCGAAGGCGGCCCCCUGGACGAAGACUGACGCUCAGGUGCGAAAGCGUGGGGAGCAAACAGGAUUAGAUACCCUGGUAGUCCACGCCGUAAACGAUGUCGACUUGGAGGUUGUGCCCUUGAGGCGUGGCUUCCGGAGCUAACGCGUUAAGUCGACCGCCUGGGGAGUACGGCCGCAAGGUUAAAACUCAAAUGAAUUGACGGGGGCCCGCACAAGCGGUGGAGCAUGUGGUUUAAUUCGAUGCAACGCGAAGAACCUUACCUGGUCUUGACAUCCACGGAAGUUUUCAGAGAUGAGAAUGUGCCUUCGGGAACCGUGAGACAGGUGCUGCAUGGCUGUCGUCAGCUCGUGUUGUGAAAUGUUGGGUUAAGUCCCGCAACGAGCGCAACCCUUAUCCUUUGUUGCCAGCGGUCCGGCCGGGAACUCAAAGGAGACUGCCAGUGAUAAACUGGAGGAAGGUGGGGAUGACGUCAAGUCAUCAUGGCCCUUACGACCAGGGCUACACACGUGCUACAAUGGCGCAUACAAAGAGAAGCGACCUCGCGAGAGCAAGCGGACCUCAUAAAGUGCGUCGUAGUCCGGAUUGGAGUCUGCAACUCGACUCCAUGAAGUCGGAAUCGCUAGUAAUCGUGAUCAGAAUGCCACGGUGAAUACGUUCCCGGGCCUUGUACACACCGCCCGUCACACCAUGGGAGUGGGUUGCAAAAGAAGUAGGUAGCUUAACCUUCGGGAGGGCGCUUACCACUUUGUGAUUCAUGACUGGGGUGAAGUCGUAACAAGGUA